Long non-coding RNA from Nematolebias whitei (Rio pearlfish), 347 nucleotides. RefSeq lists it as uncharacterized. The transcript is spliced from 3 exons. The record is from RefSeq and is a predicted model, not a curated record. NCBI's taxonomy places the organism in Eukaryota, Metazoa, Chordata, Actinopteri, Cyprinodontiformes, Rivulidae.
CAAGGGAGUUGGAGGAUGUCGAAUCCAGUGACGAAAUCAGAAGGACUGUGGAGGGAAUCCUGCAGGAAUUUGGCAUCCUGAGCAAGGACACUGUCUUUGUGACGGAUAAUAGCUCAAAUGUGAUGGCAGCAUUCAAGGAUUAUGUGCGAAUCUCCUGCGCCGACCAUAAUAUCAACUUGGUCUUAAAACACACAUUUGACCACUUGGAUGAGGACAACCCAGCACACAGCAGCAUCAUCAAGCUGUUUAAGGAGACCAAGACCCUUGUUACACACUUCCAAAGAGCAGGGUUACAAAAGGCGCUGGACCAACCGCUGAAGCAGGCUGUGGAGACGAGGUGGAACACC